This is a non-coding RNA of Dipodomys ordii (Ord's kangaroo rat), 72 nucleotides long. Lineage: Eukaryota; Metazoa; Chordata; Mammalia; Rodentia; Heteromyidae. The record is from Rfam.
GGGAAGUUGGCUCGGUGGUAGAGUGCAUGCCUUGCAUGCAUGAGGCCUUGGGUUCGAUUCCUCAGCACCACA